Molecule: ribosomal RNA, 405 nt
Filed under: uncultured Desulfobacteraceae bacterium
Lineage: Bacteria; Pseudomonadati; Thermodesulfobacteriota; Desulfobacteria; Desulfobacterales; Desulfobacteraceae
Description: bacterial SSU rRNA
Rfam family: Bacterial small subunit ribosomal RNA
Source: RNAcentral
UGGGGAAUAUUGGGCAAUGGGCGAAAGCCUGACCCAGCAACGCCGCGUGAAGGAAGAAGGCUCUCGGGUUGUAAACUUCUUUUAAGAGGGACGAAACAAAUGACGGUACCUCUUGAAUAAGCCACGGCUAACUACGUGCCAGCAGCCGCGGUAAUACGUAGGUGGCAAGCGUUAUCCGGAAUUACUGGGUGUAAAGGGCGUGUAGGCGGGACUGCAAGUCAGAUGUGAAAACCAUGGGCUCAACCUAUGGCCUGCAUUUGAAACUGUGGUUCAUGAGUGAUGGAGAGGCAGGCGGAAUUCCCUGUAUAGCGGUGAAAUGCGUAGAUAUAGGGAGGAACACCAGUGGCGAAGGCGGCCUGCUGGACAUUAACUGACGCUGAGGCGCGAAAGCGUGGGUAGCAAACA